CAGCGAUGAUGUAAUUAAUAUUUGCUAUCCUACUUGUUGUAUGACGAAGAUAAAACUACCACUAAGAUCUCUGAGCUG
This 78-nucleotide small nucleolar RNA is filed under the name Helobdella robusta. RNAcentral describes it as "Small nucleolar RNA SNORD24". It matches the Rfam family "Small nucleolar RNA SNORD24". Rfam says of the family: U24 is a member of the C/D class of snoRNA which contain the C (UGAUGA) and D (CUGA) box motifs. C/D box snoRNAs have been shown to act as methylation guides for a number of RNA targets. U24 is encoded within an intron of the gene for ribosomal protein L7a in mammals, chicken and Fugu. Lineage: Eukaryota; Metazoa; Annelida; Clitellata; Rhynchobdellida; Glossiphoniidae. The record is from Rfam by way of RNAcentral.